AUUGAACGCUGGCGGCAUGCUUUACACAUGCAAGUCGAACGGCAGCGCGGGCUUCGGCCUGGCGGCGAGUGGCGAACGGGUGAGUAAUACAUCGGAACGUGCCCAGUAGUGGGGGAUAGCUCGGCGAAAGCCGGAUUAAUACCGCAUACGACCUGAGGGUGAAACCGGGGGAUCUUCGGACCUCGCGCUAUUGGAGCGGCCGAUGGCAGAUUAGCUAGUUGGUGGGGUAAAGGCCUACCAAGGCGACGAUCUGUAGCUGGUCUGAGAGGACGACCAGCCACACUGGGACUGAGACACGGCCCAGACUCCUACGGGAGGCAGCAGUGGGGAAUUUUGGACAAUGGGCGAAAGCCUGAUCCAGCAAUGCCGCGUGUGUGAUGAAGGCCUUCGGGUUGUAAAGCACUUUUGGCGGGAACGAAAAGGACUGUGCCAAUACCACGGUUCGAUGACGGUACCCGCAGAAUAAGCACCGGCUAACUACGUG
RNAcentral lists this ribosomal RNA (484 nucleotides) under uncultured bacterium. RNAcentral describes it as "partial 16S ribosomal RNA". It matches the Rfam family "Bacterial small subunit ribosomal RNA", at positions 29 to 507 of the family's 1533-position model. The record is from RNAcentral.